AAAAAAGGUAAGCUACUAAGAGCGAAUGGUGGAUGCCUUGACUGGUAAAGGCGAUGAAGGACGUACUAGACUGCGAUAAGCUACGGGGAGCUGUCAAGAAGCUUUGAUCCGUAGAUUUCCGAAUGGGGCAACCCAAUGUAUAGAGAUAUACAUUACCUAUAUAGGAGCGAACGAGGGGAAUUGAAACAUCUUAGUACCCUCAGGAAAAGAAAUCAAUAGAGAUUGCGUCAGUAGCGGCGAGCGAAAGCGCAAGAGGGCAAACCCAGUGCUUGCACUGGGGGUUGUAGGACUGCAAUGUGCAAGAGGUGAGUUUAGCAGAACAUUCUGGAAAGUAUAGCCAUAGAGGGUGAUAGUCCCGUAUGCGAAAAACAAACCUUAGCUAGCAGUAUCCUGAGUAGGGCGGGACACGAGAAAUCCUGUCUGAAGCUGGGUCGACCACGAUCCAACCCUAAAUACUAAUACCAGAUCGAUAGUGCACAAGUACCGUGAGGGAAAGGUGAAAAGAACUGAGGUGAUCAGAGUGAAAUAGAACCUGAAACCAUUUGCUUACAAUCAUUCAGAGCCCUAUGUAGCAAUACAGGGUGAUGGACUGCCUUUUGCAUAAUGAGCCUGCGAGUUGUGGUGUCUGGCAAGGUUAAGCAAACGCGAAGCCGUAGCGAAAGCGAGUCUGAAUAGGGCGCUUAGUCAGAUGCUGCAGACCCGAAACGAAGUGAUCUAUCCAUGAGCAAGUUGAAGCUAGUGUAAGAACUAGUGGAGGACUGAACCCAUAGGCGUUGAAAAGCCCCGGGAUGACUUGUGGAUAGGGGUGAAAGGCCAAUCAAACUUCGUGAUAGCUGGUUCUCUCCGAAAUAUAUUUAGGUAUAGCGUUGUGUCGUAAUAUAAGGGGGUAGAGCACUGAAUGGGCUAGGGCAUACACCAAUGUACCAAACCCUAUCAAACUCCGAAUACCUUAUAUGUAAUCACAGCAGUCAGGCGGCGAGUGAUAAAAUCCGUCGUCAAGAGGGAAACAACCCAGACUACCAGCUAAGGUCCCUAAAUCUUACUUAAGUGGAAAACGAUGUGAAGUUACUUAAACAACCAGGAGGUUGGCUUAGAAGCAGCCAUCCUUUAAAGAAAGCGUAAUAGCUCACUGGUCUAGUGAUUUUGCGCGGAAAAUAUAACGGGGCUAAAGUAAGUACCGAAGCUGUAGACUUGCGCACAACUUAGAUUAUUUAAGUUUAGAAUAUGAGAAACUAAGUUAUAUGUUUAGUUAUAUUUUUACUGAUUUUUAUAGAGUAAAGAUAGAAAUAAAACUUAGUAAAAUCAGUAAAAAUAUUCUUAGACUAAAGUUAAGUAGUUUAAGUUGUGUGCAAGUGGUAGGAGAGCGUUCUAUUUGCGUCGAAGGUAUACCGGUAAGGAGUGCUGGAGCGAAUAGAAGUGAGCAUGCAGGCAUGAGUAGCGAUAAUUAAUGUGAGAAUCAUUAACGCCGUAAACCCAAGGUUUCCUACGCGAUGCUCGUCAUCGUAGGGUUAGUCGGGUCCUAAGUCGAGUCCGAAAGGGGUAGACGAUGGCAAAUUGGUUAAUAUUCCAAUACCAACAUUAGUGUGCGAUGGAAGGACGCUUAGGGCUAAGGGGGCUAGCGGAUGGAAGUGCUAGUCUAAGGUCGUAGGAGGUUAUACAGGCAAAUCCGUAUAACAAUACUCCGAGAACUGAAAGGCUUUUUGAAGUCUUCGGAUGGAUAGAAGAACCCCUGAUGCCGUCGAGCCAAGAAAAGUUUCUAAGUUUAGCUAAUGUUGCCCGUACCGUAAACCGACACAGGUGGGUGGGAUGAGUAUUCUAAGGCGCGUGGAAGAACUCUCUUUAAGGAACUCUGCAAAAUAGCACCGUAUCUUCGGUAUAAGGUGUGGUUCGCUUCGUAUUAGGAUUUACUCCGAAAGCGAAGAAACUUACAACAAAGAGUCCCUCCCGACUGUUUACCAAAAACACAGCACUCUGCUAACUCGUAAGAGGAUGUAUAGGGUGUGACGCCUGCCCGGUGCUCGAAGGUUAAUUGAUGGGGUUAGCAUUAGCGAAGCUCUUGAUCGAAGCCCGAGUAAACGGCGGCCGUAACUAUAACGGUCCUAAGGUAGCGAAAUUCCUUGUCGGUUAAAUACCGACCUGCAUGAAUGGCGUAACGAGAUGGGAGCUGUCUCAAAGAGGGAUCCAGUGAAAUUGUAGUGGAGGUGAAAAUUCCUCCUACCCGCGGCAAGACGGAAAGACCCCGUGGACCUUUACUACAGCUUGACACUGCUAUUUGGAUAAGAAUGUGCAGGAUAGGUGGGAGGCUUUGAGUAUAUGACGCCAGUUGUAUAUGAGCCAUUGUUGAGAUACCACUCUUUCUUAUUUGGGUAGCUAACCAGCUUGAGUUAUCCUCAAGUGGGACAAUGUCUGGUGGGUAGUUUGACUGGGGCGGUCGCCUCCCAAAUAAUAACGGAGGCUUACAAAGGUUGGCUCAGAACGGUUGGAAAUCGUUCGUAGAGUAUAAAGGUAUAAGCCAGCUUAACUGCAAGACAUACAAGUCAAGCAGAGACGAAAGUCGGUCUUAGUGAUCCGGUGGUUCUGUGUGGAAGGGCCAUCGCUCAAAGGAUAAAAGGUA
RNAcentral lists this ribosomal RNA (2614 nucleotides) under Campylobacter coli. RNAcentral describes it as "partial 23S ribosomal RNA". It matches the Rfam family "Bacterial large subunit ribosomal RNA", at positions 1 to 2465 of the family's 2925-position model. Lineage: Bacteria; Pseudomonadati; Campylobacterota; Epsilonproteobacteria; Campylobacterales; Campylobacteraceae. The record is from RNAcentral.